This 216-nucleotide ribosomal RNA is filed under the name uncultured bacterium. RNAcentral's name for it is "partial 16S ribosomal RNA". It matches the Rfam family "Bacterial small subunit ribosomal RNA", at positions 118 to 334 of the family's 1533-position model. The record is from RNAcentral.
UGGGUACCUACCCCGAGGUGAGGGAUACCGGCGAGAAAUCGCCGACAAUACCGCAUAGGCUCUCUGGCAACGGGGAGCAAAGUCUGGUGCAAGCCAGGCGCCUGGGGAUGGGCCUGUGGCCGAUUAGCUAGCUGGUGGGGUAACGGCUCACCAGGGCGACGAUCGGUAGCUGGUCUGAGAGGACGAUCAGCCACACUGGGAUUGAGAACGGCCCAG